RNAcentral lists this ribosomal RNA (97 nucleotides) under Belnapia rosea. Its description in RNAcentral is "16S rRNA. Bacterial SSU". It matches the Rfam family "Bacterial small subunit ribosomal RNA", at positions 1 to 106 of the family's 1533-position model. Lineage: Bacteria; Pseudomonadati; Pseudomonadota; Alphaproteobacteria; Acetobacterales; Roseomonadaceae. The record is from RNAcentral.
AUGAACCUGAGAGUUUGAUCCUGGCUCAGAGCGAACGCUGGCGGAAUGCUUAACACAUGCAAGUCGCACGGGGGCUUCGGCUCUAGUGGCGGACGGG